This 74-nucleotide transfer RNA is filed under the name Streptococcus sp. Its description in RNAcentral is "tRNA-Thr". It matches the Rfam family "tRNA". From Rfam's summary of the family: Transfer RNA (tRNA) molecules are approximately 80 nucleotides in length. Their secondary structure includes four short double-helical elements and three loops (D, anti-codon, and T loops). Lineage: Bacteria; Bacillati; Bacillota; Bacilli; Lactobacillales; Streptococcaceae. The record is from RNAcentral. RNAcentral also lists the same sequence under 1 other name.
GCUCUCAUAGUUCAAUGAUAGAACACGUCACCGGUAAUGACGAGACCACAGUUUGAUUCUGUGUGGGAGCACCA